AUACGUAGGGGGCGAGCGUUGUCCGGAAUGAUUGGGCGUAAAGGGCGCGUAGGCGGCCCGGUAAGUCUGGAGUGAAAGUCCUGUUUUUAAGAUGGGAAUUGCUUUGGAUACUCCAGUGCUAGAGUGCGGAAGAGGUAAGUGGAAUUCCCAGUGUAGCGGUGAAAUGCGUAGAGAUUGGGAGGAACACCAGUGGCGAAGGCGACUUACUGGGCCGUAACUGACGCUGAGGCGCGAAAGCGUGGGGAGCGAACAGGAUUAGAUACCCUGGUAGUCCACGCGGUAAACGAUGAAUGCUAGGUGUUGCGGGUAUCGACCCCUGCAGUGCCGGAGUAAACACAAUAAGCAUUCCGCCUGGGGAGUACGGCCGCAAGGUUGAAACUCAAAUGAAUUGACGGGG
Molecule: ribosomal RNA, 397 nt
Filed under: uncultured bacterium
Lineage: Bacteria
Description: partial 16S ribosomal RNA
Rfam family: Bacterial small subunit ribosomal RNA
Source: RNAcentral